RNAcentral lists this transfer RNA (89 nucleotides) under Gammaproteobacteria bacterium RIFCSPHIGHO2_02_FULL_39_13. RNAcentral's name for it is "tRNA-Ser". It matches the Rfam family "tRNA". From Rfam's summary of the family: Transfer RNA (tRNA) molecules are approximately 80 nucleotides in length. The record is from RNAcentral. RNAcentral also lists the same sequence under 1 other name. Lineage: Bacteria; Pseudomonadati; Pseudomonadota; Gammaproteobacteria.
GGAGAGAUGUCUGAGUGGUUUAAAGAGCACGCCUGGAAAGUGUGUGUACGGGUUAAACCGUACCGAGGGUUCGAAUCCCUCUCUCUCCG